UGAAAAGGGAUCUGCUAAGGGAUGGC
Molecule: non-coding RNA, 26 nt
Filed under: Rattus norvegicus (Norway rat)
Lineage: Eukaryota; Metazoa; Chordata; Mammalia; Rodentia; Muridae
Source: RNAcentral